GGGGAAUCUUGCACAAUGGGGGAAACCCUGAUGCAGCGACGCCGCGUGAACGAUGAAGCCCUUCGGGGUGUAAAGUUCUUUCGACAGGAACGAUAAUGACUGUACCUGGAGAAGAAGCUGCGGCUAACUACGUGCCAGCAGCCGCGGUAAUACGUAGGCAGCGAGCGUAGUUCGGAGUUACUGGGCGUAAAGAGUGCGUAGGCGGCGAGCCAAGUUUGGUGUGAAAUCUCCCGGCUUAACCGGGAGGGUGCGCCGAAAACUGGUGGGCUGGAGUAUGGGAGAGGAAAGCGGAAUUCCUGGUGUAGCGGUGAAAUGCGUAGAUAUCAGGAGGAACACCUGCGGUGUAGACAGCUUUCUGGACCAAAACUGACGCUGAGGCACGAAAGCGUGUGUAGCAAACA
Molecule: ribosomal RNA, 401 nt
Filed under: uncultured bacterium
Lineage: Bacteria
Description: bacterial SSU rRNA
Rfam family: Bacterial small subunit ribosomal RNA
Source: RNAcentral